GAUGAAGAACGUAGCGAAAUGCGAUAAGUAAUGUGAAUUGCAGAAUUCAGUGAAUCAUCGAAUCUUUGAACGCACAUUGCGCCCGCCAGUAUUCUGGCGGGCAUGCCUGUUCGAGCGUCAUUACAACCCUCAGGCCCCCGGGCCUGGCGUUGGGGAUCGGCGGAAGCCCCCUGUGGGCACACGCCGUCCCUCAAAUACAGUGGCGGUCCCGCCGCAGCUUCCAUUGCGUAGUAGCUAACACCUCGCAACUGGAGAGCAGCGCGGCCAUGCCGUAAAACACCCAACUUCUGAAUGUUGACCUCGAAUCAGGUAGGAAUACCCGCUGAACUUAAGCAUAUCAAUAAGCGGAGGA
RNAcentral lists this unclassified non-coding RNA (352 nucleotides) under soil metagenome. RNAcentral describes it as "partial contains 5.8S ribosomal RNA, internal transcribed spacer 2, and large subunit ribosomal RNA". The stretch from base 1 to 120 matches the Rfam family "5.8S ribosomal RNA", at positions 35 to 154 of the family's 154-position model. The record is from RNAcentral.